Long non-coding RNA from Liolophura sinensis, 488 nucleotides. RefSeq lists it as uncharacterized. The transcript has 3 exons. The record is from RefSeq and is a predicted model, not a curated record. Lineage: Eukaryota; Metazoa; Mollusca; Polyplacophora; Chitonida; Chitonidae.
CCUGGGAAUAGCAUUGCUUCUCUGCGGCCUGGUGGCCAGUGGGAGUGCCCGACACUGCGAGAAUAUCUGCAAGCCCAUCUGUACAGGAGGGACCGCCGGAAGGUGGCGCCCUCAUCGGGGACAUCACUGGAACUAUCAUCGGAGGUGCUCUGACGGGAACAUGCAGCCCGGUAUGUCCCAGUCAGUGCAACUGGGAAAAGAGGGGCACCGGCACCUGGAUCGAGGCCGUCUUCCCGGCACAUUUAACAGAUUAUGACCUGAACGGUGAUGGACUGAUCUCUCUCAAGGAGUUCGCUGCUGGUUUUAAAGGCAGCCACCUAGACUUUGCUACCCGCCACGUGUUUCAUUUGUCUGAUAAGGAUGGCAAUGGCUUUAUCUCUGCCACGGAACUUGCUGUUGCCCCGCUCAAAUUCCGCUAAAGCUACCUCAGGGUUUCUCACUUGACUUUUACGUUCUAAAGUUGUGGGCGAGGUGAUGUAUACAAAAAA